AUGGCCUAACGGCUGAACCAGCAACUUGCAGGAAUGAGGGUUAAUAUAAAAUAUUUAUUAACUUGCUUGACUAGGUCUUAUAAAGUUCUGGAUAAAGCUGAUAAUGACAACUUUAUAUCCAUAGGUCUCGACUAAAUCUUGUGCCAGCAGUCGCGGUAAGACAAGGGAGACGAGUGUUAUUCAUCUUGAACAGGUAUAUUGGGUACCUAGACUGUGUAUGAAGGCUUUUAUAGUACCUACUACACUAGAGUUUAAUAUGUGGGAGGUAGAUGUCAGAAUUAUUAGAGUAGAGAUGAAAUCCUUUGAUACUAAUAGGACUGAUAACGGCGAAGGCAAACCUCUAUGUAUAUGUACUUUAACUAUAAUUCUAUGAAAAGUUAAACUAUAAAGUUAAAUUGGAUUAAGAAUUGAUAAUAUGGUGUUUUUAUUGAAACAAAACAUUGAGCUAAAUAAGUUAAGUACUAAACUGACGUUGAGGGACGAAGGCUCAGAGAGUGAAGAGGAUUAGAUACCCCCGUAGCCUGGGCAGACAAUGAUGAGUGCCAUAGGUUGGCUUUAAGUUGAACUAUAAAUGAAAGUGGAAGCACUCCACCUCAAGAGUAAUGUGGCAACGCAGGAACUGAAAUCAUUAGACCGUUUCUGAAACCAGUAGUGAAGUAUGUUAUUUAAUUCGAUAAUCCGCGAAUAACCUUACCACAAUUUGAAUGUUCUAGUUUUUAUAUAGUGAAUUGUAUGGUUACUAUACGGUUUAUCCUUAAUAAUAACCAGAUAUUGUCAGUAUAUUCUCUAGAUCACAUGCGUUGCAUGGCUGUCUUCAGUUAAUGUCGUGAGAUUUGGUUAGGUCCAUUAAAUUAACGUAAACCCUUGUUUUAUUUAAUAGAAUAAGACAGCUCUCCGCUUACAAUUGGAUUGGAUAACAGGGACUAAGACAAGUCAUCAUGGCCUUAAUAUUGUGGGCUAUAGACGUGCCACAUGUGCCUUUACAAAGGGAUGCAAUAAUGCGAAU
RNAcentral lists this ribosomal RNA (1006 nucleotides) under Westerdykella ornata. RNAcentral's name for it is "SSU rRNA". It matches the Rfam family "Bacterial small subunit ribosomal RNA", at positions 371 to 1262 of the family's 1533-position model. The record is from RNAcentral. Lineage: Eukaryota; Fungi; Ascomycota; Dothideomycetes; Pleosporales; Sporormiaceae.